GGGGUACUCGAGCGGCGAACGGGUGAGUAACACGUUGGAAUCUGCCCUCAACUCAGGGAUAGCCCACUGAAAAGUGGAUUAAUACCGGAUAGUCCCUUCGGGGUAAAGCUUUUGCGGUUGAGGAUGAGCCUGCGUUCUAUCAGCUUGUUGGUGAGGUAAUGGCUCACCAAGGCUAUGACGGAUAGCUGGUUUGAGAGGAUGACCAGUCACAAUGGGACUGAGACACGGCCCAUACUCC
This 238-nucleotide ribosomal RNA is filed under the name uncultured bacterium. Its description in RNAcentral is "partial 16S ribosomal RNA". It matches the Rfam family "Bacterial small subunit ribosomal RNA", at positions 84 to 339 of the family's 1533-position model. The record is from RNAcentral.